RNAcentral lists this ribosomal RNA (255 nucleotides) under uncultured Anaerococcus sp. Its description in RNAcentral is "partial 16S ribosomal RNA". It matches the Rfam family "Bacterial small subunit ribosomal RNA", at positions 100 to 354 of the family's 1533-position model. Lineage: Bacteria; Bacillati; Bacillota; Tissierellia; Tissierellales; Peptoniphilaceae. The record is from RNAcentral.
CGACGGGUGAGUAACGCGUGAGUAACCUGCCUUACACAAGGGGAUAGCCGUUGGAAACGACGAAUAAUACCCUAUGACAUAAACUCUUCGCAUGAGAGCUUAUCAAAGAUUUAUCGGUGUAAGAUGGACUCGCGUCUGAUUAGCUAGUUGGUGAGGUGACGGCCCACCAAGGCGACGAUCAGUAGCCGGCUUGAGAGAGUGAACGGCCACAUUGGAACUGAGAAACGGUCCAAACUCCUACGGGAGGCAGCAGGG